GAUGAACGCUGGCGGCGUGCUUAACACAUGCAAGUCGAACGAAGCACUUUAUUUGAUUUCCUUCGGGACUGAUUAUUUUGUGACUGAGUGGCGGACGGGUGAGUAACGCGUGGGUAACCUGCCUUGUACAGGGGGAUAACAGUUGGAAACGGCUGCUAAUACCGCAUAAGCGCACGGCAUCGCAUGAUGCAGUGUGAAAAACUCCGGUGGUAUAAGAUGGACCCGCGUUGGAUUAGCUAGUUGGUGAGGUAACGGCCCACCAAGGCGACGAUCCAUAGCCGACCUGAGAGGGUGACCGGCCACAUUGGGACUGAGACACGGCCCAAACUCCUACGGGAGGCUGCAGUGGGGAAUAUUGCACAAUGGGCGAAAGCCUGAUGCAGCGACGCCGCGUGAGCGAAGAAGUAUUUCGGUAUGUAAAGCUCUAUCAGCAGGGAAGAUAA
Molecule: ribosomal RNA, 443 nt
Filed under: uncultured bacterium
Lineage: Bacteria
Description: bacterial SSU rRNA
Rfam family: Bacterial small subunit ribosomal RNA
Source: RNAcentral